AUGGCUCAGAACGAACGCUGGCGGCGCGUUUAAGCAUGCAAGUCGAGCGGCAAGGGCCUUCGGGCCCCUAGAGCGGCGGACGGGUGAGUAACACGUGGACAAUCUGCCCCCCGGCCCGGGAUAGCCCAGGGAAACCUGGAUUAAUACCGGAUGAGACGGGACCCGCGAUGGCGGGAUCCGGGAAAGGCGCUGCGGCGCCGCCGGGGGAUGAGUCUGCGUCCCAUUAGCUAGACGGCGGGGUAACGGCCCACCGUGGCGACGAUGGGUAGCCGGCCUGAGAGGGUGGACGGCCACAUUGGAACUGAGACACGGUCCAGACUCCUACGGGAGGCAGCAGCUAAGAAUCUUCCGCAAUGGGCGAAAGCCUGACGGAGCCGACGCCGCGUGAACGAAGAAGGCCGUGAGGUUGUAAAGUUCUUUUCGGGAGGGGGAACAACCGUGGCAGGGAAUGGCCGCGGGAUGACGUGAAUCCCGGAAUAAGCCCCGGCUAACUACGUGCCAGCCGCCGC
Molecule: ribosomal RNA, 509 nt
Filed under: uncultured bacterium
Lineage: Bacteria
Description: bacterial SSU rRNA
Rfam family: Bacterial small subunit ribosomal RNA
Source: RNAcentral